UUUAAAAACUACUAAAACCAUAACAGUCGUUAAAAAGAUCCCACCAAAAAUUACAACUACAAAGAAAGUUGUAACAGCAGAGUGUCAGACUUGCAAAUAUACCAAAAACAAAACACAGCCAAAAAUGAUUGCAAGAGUAUUAAGAGGACCAAUUAAGCUCAAAAAAGCAUUACCCACAAAAAAGUACACGACAAAACCGGUGAAAAAAGUCGCAGUUAAAUUUACGAAGAAGAAUAUUGUACCGCUUUCCAAAAAUAAAAGAAAGGGUUUAUCCUAUGCUAGAAUUAUAAAGAAGGCAAAUUUGAAAACAACGAAACAAGUUCUGCGGGUUCUUACUAAGAAGCCAGUCAUUACAACUACUCGUAAAGUAGAAACAACAACAGCCUCACCAAUACCAGCCAAUUGGGUGAACGUUUUACAAGAUUUAGUUCAAGCACUUAAAGCCGUUGAAUUGAAACAAAAUACAAGUGCUUGCAAUAAAGAAGCAACAACAGUAGCAGAGAUACUCUCGCAGCACCUCACUCCAAGUCCUAGCGGCAGAAGAUCGAUGAGUGAUUUUGCCGGAACAAAUUUGGAAGAUGUCAUAUCUGUGCUUUUAGAUGGAGUUGAAAUAGACAAAUCAGAAAAUGAAGUUCUUAAUGACUUCAGCGAUACCAACAAUGAAAAAGAAGCUAGUUACAAUGAAGAUUUGGUGACAGAAAAAAGUACAGAUUUAAAUACCUUGAACACCAUAAGUUACAGUGACAAUCGUCUGUAUGAAAAUAGUUUUACAAUCAGAAAUCGAGCCACAAUUAAAUAUCCUUUACCUCCAAAAACGAACAUAUUAAGGAAACCACAUGUGAAGUCAUUCUUUGAAGCUCUAAAAGCGAGAUAUAAAGAAGUAAGUAGAAAUAUGUCACUAAGUUCUAGGGAAAUGAAUCCUCCAGUUUUGAAAGCAAGAUCUGGUGAAAAGGAGCAAGAAGAUGAUCAAGAAGAAAACGUAAUUAUAGAUUUAGAUGCUCUCACAAAUCAAGCCGAAAUAGACCAAAUUGAUGAUGACAAAGAAAUUUCUGGAGAGAAAUUGGUCAUUCUAGAUUUAGCAGAGCCGGAAACUGCAGAUGCUGAAGUCACAAACGUUAAUUCUGACGAAAAUGAUAUAGUGUUACAACUAGAAAAAAUGGAAACAAAAGAAGAUACUGGUGAAAAUACAAAUGCCCUUCAAUUGGACGAAAGCAACAAUCCUGAUAUUAUUAAUAAAGAGCCCGAAACUGUAACAGAGAACAUAGAAACCAAAGAAAUCGAAGCAGAAAAUGAGACAACUACUGAAGCUGCUACGGAAAGUCCCACCGACGAAACAGAAAAUGGAGAAAUUGAGAUAGAAGUUGGUACCGAGGAACCAGAAACAAUAUUAGAUGAGAGUGUAACAGAAGAUAUAUUUAAAUACAUUCUAGAUGAUGGUUUACAAGAAAAAGAAGAAAAUAUUGAAACAGAUACUUUGAGCAUCCUUGACAAGCGAUUUUCUGGGCGUCGAUUUCGUUCACCCAGAGUUUGGCAACACAAAUUAAAUAAUUUAAAAAAUGUAGGUAAUGUAUGAGAUAGGAACUCACGGUGAUUUGCGCCCGUAAUACAAUUUAUUAAAUAGGUUUUUUGCUGCCAUGGCGUGAGAAUCCUAGCCCUUUAUGAAAUUAAUGUUCCGAUAAUAUAUUAAUAUUUCUUCAACAAUCACGAAGGCGUUAAACACACCGUGAGUUUUUCCUCCAAAAUUGUGCACGUAAAGUAUUAAAAUAUAUUUUAUAUCUUCAAUAACCUCAUGAAGCGUUAUCAUAGACUUAUAAAUAAAUUAAGAAACAUCCUAAGUCUUUCAAUCAUCGCCUUUCAUAUCGCUUCCUCUCUCAUUUUUAAGUUUUAUCCUCUUUCUAUUUAUAUUCUUGCAUAGUGCUAAAACAUUAUAGUUCCGCCCGUGAUAAGUGCUUUUGAUAAAGUUUAUGACUUUGUAAUUUAUUUCUAACAACAUUUCAGUUUCAUAAUCAAACGUUCCACUGUUAAGUCCAAGUUAUCAAUUUACUAUAAGUGUCGGUUUUCCGUCAUUUUUAUUGUAAACAUGGCGAGGUGACCUGAUUUCUACGUGAUGAAUAAGUUAAUGAUUUACUGUUCGUUAUGGAUUAUGUUAAUUGCAAAACUGGAGUGCGCUGUAAUACGCCUGGAUCAAAGUAAACGAGUAAAAGACGGCCUCGAAUAUGUUAUGCAGAAGUAUCUGAGUCCACUUCGAAAAUUAACAGCGGAAUUACCAAACCAUGCAAUAGAGAUGCAAAUAGAAAUCCAUGAAUCAGUACCUAACCCUCCAACGACGCCAGCGCCUCCGAGACGAUUGAUACGCGUCGUCAAUCGCCAUCCUUUGAAACCCAUCAAGCGGUCGAAUGACAACUUUCCACCAGAAGAACCGAGCAAUGCAGCACCAUCAGUGCCACCGCCUCCUCCGCCACCACCACCA
This is an RNA transcript of Trichoplusia ni (cabbage looper), 2470 nucleotides long. RefSeq lists it as uncharacterized. The record is from RefSeq and is a predicted model, not a curated record. The transcript has 8 exons. Lineage: Eukaryota; Metazoa; Arthropoda; Insecta; Lepidoptera; Noctuidae.